AACCUACGGGACGCAGCAGUGGGGAAUAUUGCACAAUGGGGGAAACCCUGAUGCAGCGACGCCGCGUGAGUGAAGAAGUAUCUCGGUACGUAACGCUCUAUCAGCAGGGAAGAAAAAAAGUCUUUGGCUUUGGACGGUACCUGACUAAGAAGCACCGGCUAACUACGUGCCAGCAGCCGCCGUAAUACGUAGGGGGCAAGCGUUAUCCGGAUUUACUGGGUGUAUAGGGAGCGUAGACGGCAGCGCACGUCUGGAGUGAAAUGC
RNAcentral lists this ribosomal RNA (264 nucleotides) under uncultured bacterium. Its description in RNAcentral is "partial 16S ribosomal RNA". It matches the Rfam family "Bacterial small subunit ribosomal RNA", at positions 335 to 602 of the family's 1533-position model. The record is from RNAcentral.